AUUGGCAGAAGCGUGAUUAUGCAUCAUGAUUUACAAUUCUCCAGCAGAUCUAUGGCAAAAUUAUUCUCUUGGAUGUUCCUAAUUAGUAGUAACAACAACUAUACAGUACCUUAACACUGCUUAAAGACCUGACAACCGGAUCUCAUUAAUUACCAAAUGUGUUACCACUUCCACCUACUUCAUCUUCACUACCACUUUCGAGUGGCCAAUUCGGCCAACUUGAUACGGUCUCCACACUAUUAGCUCUCGCAACAACUCCAUCUCCUUGACCGGUCUGGCCAAUCUGAGUAGGGGAGAGCAGAAACUCCAAACUGUCACCCCUAGUGGUAUCCUCCCUGUCAAGCUGAUGCCUCCUGGCAACACGUCUAAGUGUGCGCCUAAACCCAAACAAAUCCUCUUGCUCACCCAGAAACUCUUCCAAUCUCAUUGCUGCAACAAAAUCCUGACGUCUACGGCAAACCUCGUCUUCCUCCGUAGGUAACUGGAACCUACAAACUGG
Molecule: unclassified non-coding RNA, 499 nt
Filed under: Hevea brasiliensis (rubber tree)
Lineage: Eukaryota; Viridiplantae; Streptophyta; Magnoliopsida; Malpighiales; Euphorbiaceae
Source: RNAcentral